GCAGCGAUGCCGCGUGAGUGAAGAAGGCCCUUGGGUUGUAAAGCUCUUUCGUCGGGGAAGAAAAUGACUGUACCCGAAUAAGAAGGUCCGGCUAACUUCGUGCCAGCAGCCGCGGUAAUACGAAGGGACCUAGCGUAGUUCGGAAUUACUGGGCUUAAAGAGUUCGUAGGUGGUUGAAAUAGUUGGUGGUGAAAUCCCAGAGCUUAACUCUGGAACUGCCAUCAAAACUUUUCAGCUAGAGUAUGAUAGAGGAAAGCAGAAUUUCUAGUGUAGAGGUGAAAUUCGUAGAUAUUAGAAAGAAUACCAAUUGCGAAGGCAGCUUUCUGGAUCAUUACUGACACUGAGGAACGAAAGCAUGGGUAGCGAAGAGGAUUAGAUACCCUCGUAGUCCAUGCCGUAAACGAUGUGUGUUAGACGUUGGAAAUUUAUUUUCAGUGUCGCAGCGAAAGCGAUAAACACACCGCCUGGGGAGUACGACCGCAAGGUUAAAACUCAAAUGAAUUGACGGGGACCCGCACAAGUAGUGGAGCAUGUGGUUUAAUUCGAAGAUACGCGCAGAACCUUACCAACACUUGACAUGUUCGUCGCGACUUUAAGAGAUUAGAGUUUUCGGUUCGGCCGGACGAAACACAGGUGCUGCAUGGCUGUCGUCAGCUCGUGUCGUGAGAUGUUGGGUUAAGUCCCGCAACGAGCGCAACCCUCACUUUUAGUUGCCAUCAUUUAGUUGGGCACUCUGAAAGAACUGCCAGUGAUAAGCUGGAGGAAGGUGGGGAUGACGUCAAGUCC
This 786-nucleotide ribosomal RNA is filed under the name marine metagenome. RNAcentral's name for it is "bacterial SSU rRNA". It matches the Rfam family "Bacterial small subunit ribosomal RNA", at positions 388 to 1192 of the family's 1533-position model. The record is from RNAcentral.